CAUUAAGUGGCUGAAAACUUUAAGCAUUGGUCUCUUAAACCAAACAAUAGUAAUUUAAACCUACUCUUAAUGG
Molecule: transfer RNA, 73 nt
Filed under: Megacopta cribraria (bean plataspid)
Lineage: Eukaryota; Metazoa; Arthropoda; Insecta; Hemiptera; Plataspidae
Description: tRNA-Lys
Rfam family: tRNA
About the family: Transfer RNA (tRNA) molecules are approximately 80 nucleotides in length.
Source: RNAcentral